This 392-nucleotide ribosomal RNA is filed under the name uncultured bacterium. Its description in RNAcentral is "partial 16S ribosomal RNA". It matches the Rfam family "Bacterial small subunit ribosomal RNA", at positions 523 to 918 of the family's 1533-position model. The record is from RNAcentral.
ACACGUAGGGGCCUGACGUUGUUCGGAAUCAUUGGGCGUAAAGGGCGCGCAGGCGGCCGUCCAAGUCCGGUGUUAAAUGGUCGGGCUCAACCCGAUCAUGCGCUGGAAACUGGGCGGCUUGAGUCCCGUAGGGGAUGCUGGAAUUCCAGGGGUAGGGGUGAAAUCUGUAGAUAUCUGGAAGAACACCGAUGGCGAAGGCAGGCAUCUGGCCGGAGACUGACGCUGAGGCGCGAAGGCGCGGGGAGCGAACAGGUUUAGAUACCCUGGUAGUCCGCGCAGUAAACGAUGCGCACCAGGUGUCGGGCGGCAGCGCCCGGUACCGGAGCUAACGCGAUGAGUGCGCCGCCUGGGGAGUAUGCCCGCAAGGGUGAAACUCAAAGGAAUCGGCGGGG